This is a long non-coding RNA of Cucurbita pepo subsp. pepo (vegetable marrow), 710 nucleotides long. RefSeq lists it as uncharacterized. Lineage: Eukaryota; Viridiplantae; Streptophyta; Magnoliopsida; Cucurbitales; Cucurbitaceae. The record is from RefSeq and is a predicted model, not a curated record.
CAGUCACAGCAAGUGAGCUUGUCUUGGCCCUCUUGAGCAAUACUGAAUGGCUUUGUUUCCCAAACUUGUGACGGGUUCUGAGAGAAAGGCGUCGUCGAGCCAUGAACACUGCAGAACAGGCUUAAGCCAAGUGCUCCAUCUGAGGGAACAGGAACUGCUUGAAGAUCCCAUCUAGUCUCGAGAGUUGGCCGUCUCAUUUGACAUCUCAUGGGAAUCAAAAUGUGAUGAUUGUAUGAGAUUAACGAUCAAGGAGCUUAUGAUAUGCUGCAAGUUCUUUUGGUUCCAAAUGAAUUGAGUAUCAUUUGAUCAGAAGGGGUCCAUGGAAAUGGUAUCAUAUUCAUAAGAGGAAGCUUUAUUGGGACAGAGAGAGAGAGAGAAAGAGAGUUUGAAAGAAGAAUGGAGAACAGCAGGAAUUCAAAAGAGGUACUGCUAAAGGCUUAAAGGUGGGAAGGAAGGGAUAUUUCUGCAAUUUUUUAGAGUAAGAAAAGGAAGAUUUUUCUUCCUUUCUUUCACUUUUUCACUUUGAUUCAAUGUUUAAUUAUAUCAGUGUGUUCUUUAUAUGUAAUAAAAGAUGCAGAAUGUUGGAAUGUUGUCGAGAAAGAACGGAUAAAGGGUUUUGACGAAACCCUUCUCGAGAAUCGUUUAUAUGCAAAUCUAACCAACAGUGAUCAGAAGGCUUGUUGCUUGGAUUAAACUUGAAAGAACGACAU